Molecule: unclassified non-coding RNA, 298 nt
Filed under: Hevea brasiliensis (rubber tree)
Lineage: Eukaryota; Viridiplantae; Streptophyta; Magnoliopsida; Malpighiales; Euphorbiaceae
Source: RNAcentral
AGGUUUCAUUAGGCUUACAGUCAACAGCCAUAUCCAUGCGUGCGACAAAGAAAUGCUGAUGAACUGGUGCAUAUAAACCUGGAGCAAUAGUUGUACCAUAUUUUCUUGAUUCUCCAGGUUGUAAUGCUCCUAUGCUGAGAAUACCAGUAAGCUUCACUUCCGCUUCGAUUUUACCAUCCUGAUAAAAGUGCCAGAAAAAUCCAUACUCAUAGUUAGCCACUGUACAUAUAAAUGACACAGUGAGCCUUCUUGAUCGGCGUACUUCUGCUAAGCCUGUUCUCCAGUCUUGAUGCUUCCA